Molecule: ribosomal RNA, 328 nt
Filed under: uncultured Coprococcus sp.
Lineage: Bacteria; Bacillati; Bacillota; Clostridia; Lachnospirales; Lachnospiraceae
Description: bacterial SSU rRNA
Rfam family: Bacterial small subunit ribosomal RNA
Source: RNAcentral
GAUGAACGCUGGCGGCGUGCCUAACACAUGCAAGUCGAACGGAGCUUAUUUUUUGGAGACUUCGGUCAAAGAAGCUUAAGCUUAGUGGCGGACGGGUGAGUAACGCGUGGAGAACCUGCCCUGUACUGGGGGAUAACAGUGAGAAAUCACUGCUAAUACCGCAUAAGCGCACGGAGCCGCAUGGCCCAGUGUGAAAAACUCCGGUGGUACAGGAUGGCUCCGCGUUGGAUUAGCCAGUUGGCGGGGUAACGGCCCACCAAAGCGACGAUCCAUAGCCGGCCUGAGAGGGUGAACGGCCACAUUGGGACUGAGACACGGCCCAGACUCC